This 890-nucleotide ribosomal RNA is filed under the name uncultured bacterium. RNAcentral's name for it is "bacterial SSU rRNA". It matches the Rfam family "Bacterial small subunit ribosomal RNA", at positions 616 to 1505 of the family's 1533-position model. The record is from RNAcentral.
AAGAAGUGCAUCGGAAACUGGGAAACUUGAGUGCAGAAGAGGACAGUGGAACUCCAUGUGUAGCGGUGAAAUGCGUAGAUAUAUGGAAGAACACCAGUGGCGAAGGCGGCUGUCUGGUCUGUAACUGACGCUGAGGCUCGAAAGUAUGGGUAGCAAACAGGAUUAGAUACCCUGGUAGUCCAUACCGUAAACGAUGAAUGCUAAGUGUUGGAGGGUUUCCGCCCUUCAGUGCUGCAGCUAACGCAUUAAGCAUUCCGCCUGGGGAGUACGGCCGCAAGGCUGAAACUCAAAGGAAUUGACGGGGGCCCGCACAAGCGGUGGAGCAUGUGGUUUAAUUCGAAGCUACGCGAAGAACCUUACCAGGUCUUGACAUACUAUGCAAAUCUAAGAGAUUAGACGUUCCCUUCGGGGACAUGGAUACAGGUGGUGCAUGGUUGUCGUCAGCUCGUGUCGUGAGAUGUUGGGUUAAGUCCCGCAACGAGCGCAACCCUUAUUAUCAGUUGCCAGCAUUAAGUUGGGCACUCUGGUGAGACUGCCGGUGACAAACCGGAGGAAGGUGGGGAUGACGUCAAAUCAUCAUGCCCCUUAUGACCUGGGCUACACACGUGCUACAAUGGAUGGUACAACGAGUUGCGAACUCGCGAGAGUAAGCUAAUCUCUUAAAGCCAUUCUCAGUUCGGAUUGUAGGCUGCAACUCGCCUACAUGAAGUCGGAAUCGCUAGUAAUCGCGGAUCAGCAUGCCGCGGUGAAUACGUUCCCGGGCCUUGUACACACCGCCCGUCACACCAUGAGAGUUUGUAACACCCAAAGUCGGUGGAGUAACCUUUUAGGAACCAGCCGCCUAAGGUGGGACAGAUGAUUAGGGUGAAGUCGUAACAAGGUAACCGUAA